AGUGAACGCUGGCGGUAGGCCUAACACAUGCAAGUCGAACGGCAGCACAGUAAGAGCUUGCUCUUACGGGUGGCGAGUGGCGGACGGGUGAGGAAUACAUCGGAAUCUACUUUUUCGUGGGGGAUAACGUAGGGAAACUUACGCUAAUACCGCAUACGACCUACGGGUGAAAGCAGGGGAUCUUCGGACCUUGCGCGAUUGAAUGAGCCGAUGUCGGAUUAGCUAGUUGGCGGGGUAAAGGCCCACCAAGGCGACGAUCCGUAGCUGGUCUGAGAGGAUGAUCAGCCACACUGGAACUGAGACACGGUCCAGACGCCUACGGGAGGAAGCAGUGGGGAAUAUUGGACAAUGGGCGCAAGCCUGAUCCAGCCAUACCGCGUGGGUGAAGAAGGCCUUCGAGUUGUAAAGCCCUUUUGUUGGGAAAGAAAAGCAGCAGGUUAAUACCCCGCUGUGCCGACGGUACCCAAAGAAUAAGCACCGGCUAACUUCGUG
This 492-nucleotide ribosomal RNA is filed under the name uncultured bacterium. RNAcentral's name for it is "partial 16S ribosomal RNA". It matches the Rfam family "Bacterial small subunit ribosomal RNA", at positions 29 to 507 of the family's 1533-position model. The record is from RNAcentral.